Molecule: ribosomal RNA, 463 nt
Filed under: uncultured bacterium
Lineage: Bacteria
Description: partial 16S ribosomal RNA
Rfam family: Bacterial small subunit ribosomal RNA
Source: RNAcentral
CGAACGCUGGCGGCGUGCUUAACACAUGCAAAUCGAACGGAAAGGCCCCUUUGGGGGUACUCGAGUGGCGAACGGGUGAGUAACACGUGAGUAACCUGCCCUUGACUUCGGGAUAACUUCAGGAAACUGGGGCUAAUACCGGAUAGGAAUCCUUGCUGCAUGGUGGGGGUUGGAAAGCUUCGGCGGUUUUGGAUGGACUCGCGGCUUAUCAGCUUGUUGGUGGGGUAGUGGCUUACCAAGGCUUUGACGGGUAGCCGGCCUGAGAGGGCGACCGGCCACAUUGGGACUGAGAUACGGCCCAGACUCCUACGGGAGGCAGCAGUGGGGAAUAUUGCACAAUGGGCGGAAGCCUGAUGCAGCAACGCCGCGUGCGGGAUGACGGCCUUCGGGUUGUAAACCGCUUUCAGCAGGGGCGAAGCUUGUGGUGACGGUACCUGCAGAAGAAGCACCGGCUAACUACGUG